GUGUGACUUGCCCCGAUCAGAAUCAUCCUUAUCAGCAUGAUAAGGUUUAAGGAAGCUUAUGUGAAACACCGGAUGACAUUCCAAGUGUGGUGGCAGCUUUACUCGAUAGGCCAACUUGCCAAUGCACUUCUCCAUGGGGAAGGGUCCCUCAUAUCUCCGCAGCAACCCCUUAUGGACUCUCCCAUAGUUGCGCACUGUCUGAGGGAUCAAUUUCACAAUGACCAUGUCUCCCUCUUCGAACUCCAAGUGCCUCCUCUUAGUGUCUGCCCAUUUCUUCAUCUUGUUGGAUGCCUUUGCCAAGGAUGCUUUAGCUAACUCAACUUUCUCCUUCCAAGCCUUGGCAAAUUUGAAAGAACUUGGGCUCUUACCAGAAUAUAGCACUAUCGUAGUGUGUGGUGCAAGCGACUAUUGUCCUGUAGCAAGCUCGAAUGGACUUGCUCCCGUAGACUCACUCUUCUGCAAAUUAUAUGAGAACUGGGCCACAUCAAGCAAC
Molecule: unclassified non-coding RNA, 493 nt
Filed under: Hevea brasiliensis (rubber tree)
Lineage: Eukaryota; Viridiplantae; Streptophyta; Magnoliopsida; Malpighiales; Euphorbiaceae
Source: RNAcentral